CACGUAGGGCGCGAGCGUUGUCCGGAAUUAUUGGGCGUAAAGAGCUCGUAGGCGGCCUGUUGCGUCCGCUGUGAAAGCCCGGGGCUUAACCCCGGGUCUGCAGUGGAUACGGGCAGGCUAGAGGUAGGUAGGGGAGAAUGGAAUUCCCGGUGUAGCGGUGAAAUGCGCAGAUAUCAGGAGGAACACCGGUGGCGAAGGCGGGUCUCUGGGCCGUUACUGACGCUGAGGAGCGAAAGCGUGGGGAGCGAACAGG
Molecule: ribosomal RNA, 253 nt
Filed under: uncultured bacterium
Lineage: Bacteria
Description: partial 16S ribosomal RNA
Rfam family: Bacterial small subunit ribosomal RNA
Source: RNAcentral